UACGUAGGUGGCGAGUGUUAUUCGGAUUUACUGGGCGUAAAGGGUUCGUAGGGGGCUGGUUAAGUCCUGUGUGAAAGCCCGCGGCUCAACCGCGGAACGUCAUGGGAUACUGACUGGCUAGAGGGUCGGAGAGGAGAGUGGAAUACCUGGUGUAGCGGUGGAAUGCGUAGAUAUCAGGUAGAACACCGAUGGCGAAGGCAGCUCUCUGGACGACACCUGACCCUGAGGAACGAAAGCUGGGGGAGCAAACAGG
Molecule: unclassified non-coding RNA, 253 nt
Filed under: uncultured Oligosphaeria bacterium
Lineage: Bacteria; Pseudomonadati; Lentisphaerota; Oligosphaeria
Description: contains 16S-23S intergenic spacer region
Rfam family: Bacterial small subunit ribosomal RNA
Source: RNAcentral